RNAcentral lists this long non-coding RNA (445 nucleotides) under Salvia miltiorrhiza (redroot sage). Its description in RNAcentral is "long non-coding RNA (SMIL_LNC009763)". The record is from RNAcentral. Lineage: Eukaryota; Viridiplantae; Streptophyta; Magnoliopsida; Lamiales; Lamiaceae.
CCCAACAAAAAUUAAAUAAGACAACAAAAUUCAAUACAAAAAGCCCAACAGAAAGCCCACAAAAUUAAACAAAAAUAGAUAGGGCAACUCUCUCUCUUCUUUCUCAACCUCAACGGCGCGGCGCCUCUUUCUUCUUCUUCUUCUUCUCUGCAUAUGUUCCAGACCUCCAUAAUAACUCUCUCUUUCUCACUAUUUAAAUUACGCGCGUGUUGUGCAUGCAAACGCCUUUCUUCACCUCCGUGCCCGGCACCCAGCACGAACACCCAGCCUCCACAGCGCGACGCACAGGCGGCGUGCUGGCUCGGUCCGACACGCAAAAGAGAGCUCUGCAGAGCUCUUCGACCGAGCCCAACUUUGGUUGUUUAAUUUUGGAUAGGGGUGUUUACGAUUUGAUUUGGUGUGAUUUGACACUAAAAUUAAAUCAAAUUAUAAAACACGAUUUAAU